Molecule: ribosomal RNA, 640 nt
Filed under: Bacillus sp. 133(2013)
Lineage: Bacteria; Bacillati; Bacillota; Bacilli; Caryophanales; Bacillaceae
Description: bacterial SSU rRNA
Rfam family: Bacterial small subunit ribosomal RNA
Source: RNAcentral
AGCUUGCUCCCUGAGAUUAGCGGCGGACGGGUGAGUAACACGUGGGCAACCUGCCUAUAAGACUGGGAUAACUUCGGGAAACCGGAGCUAAUACCGGAUACGUUCUUUUCUCGCAUGAGAGAAGAUGGAAAGACGGUUUACGCUGUCACUUAUAGAUGGGCCCGCGGCGCAUUAGCUAGUUGGUGAGGUAAUGGCUCACCAAGGCGACGAUGCGUAGCCGACCUGAGAGGGUGAUCGGCCACACUGGGACUGAGACACGGCCCAGACUCCUACGGGAGGCAGCAGUAGGGAAUCUUCCGCAAUGGACGAAAGUCUGACGGAGCAACGCCGCGUGAACGAAGAAGGCCUUCGGGUCGUAAAGUUCUGUUGUUAGGGAAGAACAAGUACCAGAGUAACUGCUGGUACCUUGACGGUACCUAACCAGAAAGCCACGGCUAACUACGUGCCAGCAGCCGCGGUAAUACGUAGGUGGCAAGCGUUGUCCGGAAUUAUUGGGCGUAAAGCGCGCGCAGGUGGUUCCUUAAGUCUGAUGUGAAAGCCCACGGCUCAACCGUGGAGGGUCAUUGGAAACUGGGGAACUUGAGUGCAGAAGAGGAAAGUGGAAUUCCAAGUGUAGCGGUGAAAUGCGUAGAGAUUUGGA